This is a long non-coding RNA of Cynoglossus semilaevis (tongue sole), 2469 nucleotides long. RefSeq lists it as uncharacterized. Lineage: Eukaryota; Metazoa; Chordata; Actinopteri; Pleuronectiformes; Cynoglossidae. The record is from RefSeq and is a predicted model, not a curated record. The transcript has 3 exons.
CCUCGGUGGACAUAUCUCCGGCGAUGGUGGAAGGUGAUGUCCGGGUGGAGGUGGAGUGCCUCUGGCAUAGGACCCGGCCAGUGGUAGCGUAGCCGUAGCAAGUCAGAGGCCGAGUAGCGAAGCAGACCCGCAGACCCGCCACUGGUGUCUGGACUACGUGCUGGAUGAGAUUGCACUUCGCAGAAACGCCCACGUAAUUGUUGCUUCCCAUAAUGAAGACACAGUGAAAUACACCAUCAGGAGAAUGAAUGAGCUGGGUCUCUCCCCCAUGGAAAACAAAGUGUACUUUGGUCAGCUGCUGGGCAUGUGUGAUCAGAUCAACUUCCCCUUGGGUGAGAGCCAUCCAUCGUGACACACAAACACGCAGUUUCACUGUCAGCCGUUAGUGUUGAUGUCAUUGUUAUUCUGCUGCAGUCUGGUCUUGAUAAACUGAAAGGCUUUUACUUUUCUGUAUGGAACAUCCUCUCGGUGAACACUGUGUCUGGCUCUGUCAGGCAGAGAUCUCAGCCAAGAUGGAGGGAGUGACAGGAAGCGAGUAGCGGUUUGUGUCGUCUCAGCUCCUGGCCUUUAUUUAAUUCUUGUAUUUUUCAGCCCUCUUGGAAAACGAUGCCCGUGUGUCCUUCAAAUACGUGACUUAAAACAAAUCCUGUCAUUGUUGCAGCCUGGAAAUGUCAUUGGAUGUAUGCAAAAUGCCCCCUCCCCUGGGGGAGGGGAAUAUUGGACAUCCCUAGUUUCUACCAAAACUAUAUUAAUCAGUUUACAGCAUUGUUUCCCAAAGAUUGGGUCGUGACCCUCAGGUGGGUCUCAAGAGAUUUUUUUUUGGGUCAUCUCACAUCAUGUUUCCCAGGAUUUUACCAAUAAUGUCUAUUGACUUGGGUCGCAAAGGUUUGUGACUUUAAAAAUAUGGGUCCCCAGAAAAAAAGUUUGGGAAACACUGGUUUACAGCACCUACAAAGUCAGCCUGUCAGGCCGACUGACACAGGUUGGUCUGAUGAAAGCCAGACUUCUGACCUAAAUAUUCGACCCCACAGACCCUGCAGGGGGUUGACAUGGUAUUUAAGCCUUGAGGCGCACUGGUGAAGCAAAAGCUUUUGUGUAUCAACUGUAUAAAACUAAAGAUCAGCGUGUCGACUAAGGACGCCUGACUCUACCCAGCCGUUCAAAAGUGUUAAAAUGUUAAAUUUGAUCAAUUUCACAAGUUAACAUGUUCAUUUUGACAGCCCUGGUUCAGGAGCUGAAGCCUGGCUGAUGAAAGGAGAUGCCAUGAUGUCCUGUUAUGUUGUGAUCUAAGGCAUUUUUUUUUCUAAAAGGAACUAAAAAAAGACGCCUUUCUCAGUACACGAGGUUUGUUGUCAAAAAACUGUCAGUAUCAAAUAUUAACAACAGGAACAGCCUUUGGAGUUUCUGUUUUGAUUUGUUUUCAUGUGUGUGUUUCUUCCUCACUCCUGCCGUCUUACAAAUGACUUUUUUUCUCACAUCCAUCUGUCUGCAGGCCAGGCGGGCUUCCCCGUCUACAAGUAUGUUCCAUAUGGGCCAGUGGGUGAGGUGAUGCCUUACCUGUCUCGCAGAGCCCAGGAGAACAGAGGCAUCAUGAAAGGUGUCCAAAAGGAGAGGAAGCUGCUGUGGAGGGAGCUAAAACGCAGGCUGGCCUCCGGGGAGCUUCUCUACAGACCGGUUUACUGAAAAGGCAGAAGAAAGACAGGAAGGAAUGAGUGUUGUCAAACAGAGUUUUUUUUUUUUUGUUCUUCUUUGGUUGACGGCUUCAGCUCUGUCAUUUACCUGCUGUCCUGAAGUUUUUCCACUGACAGACUCUUUCUGCGCGCCACUCUCCUGUUCUCUGCCGGCCUUAUCUUUACCUCAGCUGAUGUCCGUACGCCGUGCUUUUUUUACCUCUGCAUCCUUACUUAUUCCUGCCUUUAUCUUCCCGUUGUCCAAAGACCUGUGGUAUCCAUCAACUGGGCAUCUUUACUGCUCCAAAAGGACUCUCUAAAAUGUCAACAAGCCUGCUUUUAUCACCCUGUUCUUCCACAGGUGCAAUCAUAAUAAACAUAACAGGCUUGAUUUAAAUGGCAGUAAAAGAAACACCAAUAAUUCCCACCUGUAUUGUCUUUUCACUCCGGAGCAGCUCGUGCCCUGAGGUGGAUGUACGUCAGUGUUUUUGUUUGUUUUUUAAAUAUGUCUGUUGAUGAAUCGAUGAGAAGAUAUGGCUGAUCUUUAGACCAAAUUCUUCUCCCGCUAACAGCCUACUCUGUGUUACAUUAGUUGAGUGGAGUGAUAUUCCUGGGAGUAUAUUCCUAAGGUAUAAUUAAUUGUCCUGGAAAUACUAUUACUACUGUACUAAGGGAUAAUGUAUGUGAGCUGUGUUUUGAUUUUAUUGCAUUUGGGUGUUAAAUGAUGUCAUUUUGUUAAUUACUACUGUAUUUUAGUAUAGUAAAGGUGGGACAGUAUUAAAAGAAAUACUGUAAUUCA